This 75-nucleotide transfer RNA is filed under the name Brevundimonas phage vB_BpoS-Gurke. RNAcentral's name for it is "tRNA-Val". It matches the Rfam family "tRNA". From Rfam's summary of the family: Transfer RNA (tRNA) molecules are approximately 80 nucleotides in length. Their secondary structure includes four short double-helical elements and three loops (D, anti-codon, and T loops). Further hydrogen bonds mediate the characteristic L-shaped molecular structure. tRNAs have two regions of fundamental functional importance: the anti-codon, which is responsible for specific mRNA codon recognition, and the 3' end, to which the tRNAs corresponding amino acid is attached (by aminoacyl-tRNA synthetases). tRNAs cope with the degeneracy of the genetic code in two manners: having more than one tRNA (with a specific anti-codon) for a particular amino acid; and 'wobble' base-pairing, i.e. permitting non-standard base-pairing at the 3rd anti-codon position. Lineage: Duplodnaviria; Heunggongvirae; Uroviricota; Caudoviricetes; Jeanschmidtviridae. The record is from RNAcentral.
AGCGGGUUCGCCAAGUGGUAAGGCAUCGGUAUCACACACCGAUACGCGAAGGUUCGAUUCCUUCACCCGCUACCA